Triticum aestivum (bread wheat) is the source of this 502-nucleotide long non-coding RNA. RefSeq lists it as uncharacterized. The record is from RefSeq and is a predicted model, not a curated record. The transcript is spliced from 3 exons. NCBI's taxonomy places the organism in Eukaryota, Viridiplantae, Streptophyta, Magnoliopsida, Poales, Poaceae.
CUCUCUCCACUCCCCAUUCUCAAAUCUGAAGAACUCCGCACGGGGAGAAGAGACGCUGAGCUCCAAGGCUUUUUCAACAAACAGAUCGGCGUGUUACUGCACGUCCAACGAGAAAGGAUUGCCGACGCUGCUUGUGGAGAGAUGGUUUGCAUAACUUGUCUGAGCCCUUGCAACCGCGAGAGCAAGGGAAGCAUCAUCAGCAUGUAUCUCUGGAAGGAGUUCAAAAAUGCAUGGAACAGGUUGUGCCAUGCAGCGAAAAGGUUUGUUUCAACAACCUGACAGGUGAUGGGUUGAAGUUUUAGGCAAACAAACGGACGUACUAUAAAGUGUCACAAGGGACGCAGAUAGAGUGCAAUGCAUGGGAGUGGUUGAAGGAAGUCUGUUGCACACAAGAAGUUGGGAAAUGGUUAGCUGGUUUUCUUCUACUUGGACCAGACUUCCCCAAGGGAAGUUGUUUGCAUGAUGGAUUCACAUGUUCGCCAUUUGUGCACCACCUCACAAG